GACGAACGCUGGCGGCAUGCCUAAUACAUGCAAGUCGAGCGAACAGAUGAAGUGCUUGCACUUCUGACGUUAGCGGCGAACGGGUGAGUAACACGUAAGGAAUCUAUCUAUAAGCGGGGGAUAACAUUCGGAAACGGGUGCUAAUACCGCAUAAUAUCUUCUUCCGCAUGGAAGAAGAUUGAAAGACGGCUCUGCUGUCACUUAUAGAUGACCUUGCGGUGCAUUAGUUAGUUGGUGGGGUAACGGCCUACCAAGACGAUGAUGCAUAGCCGACCUGAGAGGGUGAUCGGCCACAUUGGGACUGAGACACGGCCCAAACUCCUACGGGAGGCAGCAGUAGGGAAUCUUCCGCAAUGGGCGAAAGCCUGACGGAGCAAUGCCGCGUGAGUGAAGAAGGCCUUCGGGUCGUAAAACUCUGUUAUAAGAGAAGAACAAAUUGUAGAGUAACUGCUACAGUCUUGACGGUAUCUUAUCAGAAAGCCACGGCUAACUACGUG
RNAcentral lists this ribosomal RNA (497 nucleotides) under uncultured bacterium. RNAcentral describes it as "partial 16S ribosomal RNA". It matches the Rfam family "Bacterial small subunit ribosomal RNA", at positions 28 to 507 of the family's 1533-position model. The record is from RNAcentral.